CCUACGGGAGGCAGCAGUGGGGAAUAUUGCACAAUGGGCGAAAGCCUGAUGCAGCAACGCCGCGUGAGAGAUGAAGGCCUUCGGGGCGGAAAGCUCUGUCCGCAAGGAAGAGAAUGACGGUACGUGAGGAGGAAGCCACGGCUAACUACGUGCCAGCAGCCGCGGUAAUACGUAGGGGGCUAGCGUUAUCCGGAAGUACUGGGCGUAAAGGGGGCGUAGGUGGUUUCUUACGUCCGAGGGGAAAGGCUACGGCUCAACCGUAGUACGCCUUUGAAACGGGGAAACUUGAGUGCAGGAGCGGUGCGUGGUCUUCCUCGUGUAGCGGUGCACUGCUUAGAUAUUCUGCG
Molecule: ribosomal RNA, 347 nt
Filed under: uncultured bacterium
Lineage: Bacteria
Description: partial 16S ribosomal RNA
Rfam family: Bacterial small subunit ribosomal RNA
Source: RNAcentral